GAUGAACGCUGGCGGCGCGCCUAACACAUGCAAGUCGAACGGUGAAGUCCCUUCGGGGACGGAUCAGUGGCGGACGGGUGAGUAACGCGUGAGUAACCUGCCCUUAUGAGUAGAAUAACGUCUGGAAACGGACGCUAAUACCGCAUAACGCAUUCCCUUGGCAUCUAGGGAAUGCCAAAGAUUUAUCGCUGAGAGGUGGGCUCGCGUCUGAUUAGGUAGUUGGUGAGGUAACGGCCCACCAAGCCGACGAUCAGUAGCCGACCUGAGAGGGUGAUCGGCCACAUUGGGACUGAGACACGGCCCAA
Molecule: ribosomal RNA, 305 nt
Filed under: uncultured bacterium
Lineage: Bacteria
Description: bacterial SSU rRNA
Rfam family: Bacterial small subunit ribosomal RNA
Source: RNAcentral